This 694-nucleotide ribosomal RNA is filed under the name uncultured marine euryarchaeote DH148-Y19. RNAcentral describes it as "bacterial SSU rRNA". It matches the Rfam family "Archaeal small subunit ribosomal RNA", at positions 56 to 749 of the family's 1478-position model. Lineage: Archaea; Methanobacteriati; Methanobacteriota; Candidatus Hikarchaeia. The record is from RNAcentral.
AGUCGAACGGGUUAAGACCCGUGGCGAAUAGCUCAGUAACACGUAGAUAAACUACCCUAUGGACUGUGAUAACCUCGGAAAACUGAGGGUAAUAACAGAUAGCACUCCUACGCUGGAAUGCAGUGAGUACGAAAUGCUCCGGUGCCAUAGGAUGUGACUGCGGCCGAUUAGGUAGACGGUGGGGUAACGGCCCACCGUGCCGAUAAUCGGUACGGGUGGUGAGAGCCAGAGCCCGGAGAUGGAAUCUGAGACAAGAUUCCAGGCCCUAUGGGGCGCAGCAGGCGCGAAAACUUUACAAUGCGCGAAAGCGCGAUAAGGGGACCCCGAGUGCGAGGGCAUAACGUCCUCGCUUUUGUAUAUCGUAAGAAGAUACACGAAUAAGGGCUGGGCAAGACCGGUGCCAGCCGCCGCGGUAAUACCGGCAGCUCGAGUGAUGAUCACUAUUAUUGGGCCUAAAGCGUCCGUAGCCGGUCGAACAAGUCCUUCGGUAAAUCCACUCGCUCAACGAGUGGGCUCUCGAGGGAAACUGUUCGACUUGGGGCCGGGAGAUCUGAGGGGUACGUCUAGGGUAGGAGUGAAAUCCUGUAAUCCUAGACGGACCGCCGGUGGCGAAAGCGCCUCAGAAGAACGGACCCGACGGUCAAGGGACGAAAGCUAGGGUCUCGAACCGGAUUUAGAUACCCGGGUAGUCCUA